AAAUUGAAGAGUUUGAUCAUGGCUCAGAUUGAACGCUGGCGGCAGGCCUAACACAUGCAAGUCGAGCGGUAGCACAGAGAGCUUGCUCUCGGGUGACGAGCGGCGGACGGGUGAGUAAUGUCUGGGAAACUGCCUGAUGGAGGGGGAUAACUACUGGAAACGGUAGCUAAUACCGCAUAAUGUCGCAAGACCAAAGUGGGGGACCUUCGGGCCUCAUGCCAUCAGAUGUGCCCAGAUGGGAUUAGCUUGUAGGUGGGGUAACGGCUCACCUAGGCGACGAUCCCUAGCUGGUCUGAGAGGAUGACCAGCCACACUGGAACUGAGACACGGUCCAGACUCCUACGGGAGGCAGCAGUGGGGAAUAUUGCACAAUGGGCGCAAGCCUGAUGCAGCCAUGCCGCGUGUGUGAAGAAGGCCUUCGGGUUGUAAAGCACUUUCAGCGGGGAGGAAGGCGGUGAGGUUAAUAACCUCAUCGAUUGACGUUACCCGCAGAAGAAGCACCGGCUAACUCCGUGCCAGCAGCCGCGGUAAUACGGAGGGUGCAAGCGUUAAUCGGAAUUACUGGGCGUAAAGCGCACGCAGGCGGUCUGUCAAGUCGGAUGUGAAAUCCCCGGGCUCAACCUGGGAACUGCAUUCGAAACUGGCAGGCUAGAGUCUUGUAGAGGGGGGUAGAAUUCCAGGUGUAGCGGUGAAAUGCGUAGAGAUCUGGAGGAAUACCGGUGGCGAAGGCGGCCCCCUGGACAAAGACUGACGCUCAGGUGCGAAAGCGUGGGGAGCAAACAGGAUUAGAUACCCUGGUAGUCCACGCCGUAAACGAUGUCGAUUUGGAGGUUGUGCCCUUGAGGCGUGGCUUCCGGAGCUAACGCGUUAAAUCGACCGCCUGGGGAGUACGGCCGCAAGGUUAAAACUCAAAUGAAUUGACGGGGCCCGCACAAGCGGUGGAGCAUGUGGUUUAAUUCGAUGCAACGCGAAGAACCUUACCUGGUCUUGACAUCCACAGAACUUAGCAGAGAUGCUUUGGUGCCUUCGGGAACUGUGAGACAGGUGCUGCAUGGCUGUCGUCAGCUCGUGUUGUGAAAUGUUGGGUUAAGUCCCGCAACGAGCGCAACCCUUAUCCUUUGUUGCCAGCGGUCCGGCCGGGAACUCAAAGGAGACUGCCAGUGAUAAACUGGAGGAAGGUGGGGAUGACGUCAAGUCAUCAUGGCCCUUACGACCAGGGCUACACACGUGCUACAAUGGCAUAUACAAAGAGAAGCGACCUCGCGAGAGCAAGCGGACCUCAUAAAGUAUGUCGUAGUCCGGAUUGGAGUCUGCAACUCGACUCCAUGAAGUCGGAAUCGCUAGUAAUCGUAGAUCAGAAUGCUACGGUGAAUACGUUCCCGGGCCUUGUACACACCGCCCGUCACACCAUGGGAGUGGGUUGCAAAAGAAGUAGGUAGCUUAACCUUCGGGAGGGCGCUUACCACUUUGUGAUUCAUGACUGGGGUGAAGUCGUAACAAGGUAACCGUAGGGGAACCUGCGGUUGGAUCACCUCCUUACCUUAAAGAA
Molecule: ribosomal RNA, 1549 nt
Filed under: Klebsiella pneumoniae
Lineage: Bacteria; Pseudomonadati; Pseudomonadota; Gammaproteobacteria; Enterobacterales; Enterobacteriaceae
Description: 16S ribosomal RNA
Rfam family: Bacterial small subunit ribosomal RNA
Source: RNAcentral